RNAcentral lists this ribosomal RNA (601 nucleotides) under Vishniacozyma tephrensis. RNAcentral's name for it is "eukaryotic LSU rRNA". It matches the Rfam family "Eukaryotic large subunit ribosomal RNA", at positions 73 to 668 of the family's 3401-position model. The record is from RNAcentral. Lineage: Eukaryota; Fungi; Basidiomycota; Tremellomycetes; Tremellales; Bulleribasidiaceae.
AUUCCUUAGUACGGCGAGUGACCGGGAUGAGCUCAAAUUUGAAAUCUGGCGUCUUUCAGGCGUCCGAGUUGUAAUCUAUAGAGGCGUUUUCCGCGCCGGACCGCGUCCAAGUCUCUUGGAAUAGAGUAUCAAAGAGGGUGACAAUCCCGUACUUGACGCGACAACCGGUGCUCUGUGAUACGUUCUCAACGAGUCGAGUUGUUUGGGAAUGCAGCUCUAAAUGGGUGGUAAAUUCCAUCUAAGGCUAAAUAUUGGCGAGAGACCGAUAGCGAACAAGUACCGUGAGGGAAAGAUGAAAAGCACUUUGGAAAGAGAGUUAAACAGCACGUGAAAUUGUUAAAAGGGAAACGAUUGAAGUCAGUCGUGUGAAAGGUAUUCAGCCGUCUCUGGCGGUGUAUUUGCCUUUCACGGGUCAACAUCAGUUUAGUCCGGUAGAAAAAGGCUGGAGGAAGGUGGCACCCUCGGGUGUGUUAUAGCCUCCUGUCAUAUGUGCCGGAUUAGACUGAGGAACGCAGCUUGCAGCAAUGCCGGGGUUCGCCCACGUACAAGCUUAGGAUGUUGACAUAAUGGCUUUAAACGACCCGUCUUGAAACACAGACCU